AAAGGAAAACGAACGGUGUUGAUAAGCACAAAGCCAAAAAGCUUCUCCAUUUUCUUCUCCAGCGUCAGAUUUCCUAAAAUCAAUUCUCCAAUAAAAUUUUAUAACCAAUCCAAAAUAUUUCGGUUUCUCUCUCCGCGCCAAAUACAAAAGAACCACUUUCUUCUUCUUUCUCUCUAUAUAUUUUUCCAGAUCAUCAUGGCGGAAGCUCCGACGAGUCCAGCUGGCGGGAGCCCCGAUAGUGGAGGGGAGCAUAGCCCGCGUGGAAGUGGCGUGCGAGAGCAGGAUCGGUACCUCCCGAUCGCCAACAUCAGCCGCAUCAUGAAGAAGGCCUUACCUGCUAAUGGUAAGAUCGCCAAGGACGCUAAAGAUACCGUACAAGAAUGCGUCUCUGAAUUCAUCAGUUUCAUCACCAGCGAGGCGAGUGAUAAGUGCCAAAAGGAGAAGAGAAAGACGAUAAAUGGCGAUGAUUUGUUAUGGGCAAUGGCUACGUUGGGUUUUGAGGACUAUAUCGAACCGCUUAAGACUUACCUGGCAAGAUACAGGGAGGUAAAUCUUGAAUCUUUGCUUCUGAUUUCUUUUUUCUUUUACUGAACUGAAUUAUUAUGAUCGAUUCCUGUUUGGCUAUGAAUUGAAUUAAUGCUUAAAAUUUGAAUUUGAUUACUUUGUGUUUUGUUGACGUGAAGACUAAAGAAAAUGAAUAAUAGCAAACUUUUUUUUUGUAUUUUACUCGAAGUCAUAUUUGAGGUUAAUAAUAUCAAAACCUUAGCCAUUUAUGAACAAACUUAAUCGUAGAAGGGGGAAUUCAGGUUGUCUUUAUGUAGAAUUUGAAAAUUGAAGAAGUUUGUUUUUCCCCCUUAUGAAUCACGGCUGCAACUUAUCACUUUUAUGUGUAAUUAUUUAUUUUCUUCAUAAUGAAUUCUCUUUUUUUUUUUGGUUGUAAAUUUAACUCUUAACAUUUCCUUUCUUAUUUUAUUGAUGGGGCUGAUUUUGUUGGGGUGAUUGCACUGUGGCAGUUGGAGGGAGACACCAAAGGAUCUGGCAGGGGUGGUGAUGGUUCUGGAAAAAGAGAUGGACUGGGAGCUGGACCUGGUCAAAAUCCCCAGUAUGUUCACCAGGGAUCAUUGAACUACAUAAAUUCCCAAGGGGGCCCUUUAUGGUAGACAACCAUUAGUUUUCAGUCAGAUUCUGGUUCAGUGAUUUGUCUACUAGAAAAUCUAUUUUCAAAUUCUAGAUGAGGGCUGAGGCCACUUCCAUUUGUAGUUGCUUUGCUUUUUCCCAAGCCUCAUCUAAUUUUUGUAAUGGUCCUCUUGUAAUUAAAUUAAUAGUAAUAAAGUUCAAACCUCUGUUUCCUUCCAGAUGUUACGUGUAUAGGUAGCCAUUUGCAAAAUUUGUUAUUGAAGGUUUAGAUCUAAGAGCAUCUCUAAUGGAAUGCCAAAAAGGUGGAGCAUUGUUAUAUUUACCACAUUUUAACAAAAGUAUCACUCCAAUAAUUUUCUAAAAAAUGUCAAAUUUGGAACAUGCGCGAAAAGUUGUGCCAAAUUUGGUACAAGAUAUAACAUGAGCCAAUUUUAGCACAACAAUAAAUAUAAUUUUUUAUUUACUAUAUUGCUAUUAAUUUAUUAAUCAACAAUUAAUGACUAACCAUAUUUUUUUUAUAUUUACUUUUUUACAAUAAAAAAUAUGAAAAAAAAAAGAUUAUUUUUUUUGUAUAUUAUCAAUAAAUAUUAAAUGAAUUGUUCGGUUUAUUACUUAAUUUGCAUCUUGUGAAUAUUGAGCCAAAUAUAGCAUUUAUCUAUUUUUUGUGUCAAAUUUGACACAAAAUUUACAUCUUGUAUUAGAGAUAGUCUAAACUAUCUAUAAUAUAACUGCUGUUAUAAAAUGGAUGAAAAUUUUUGAGCACAACCAACAGUGAUAAUGUGCUUAUGCCUUUUACUUAUUAGAACGAGUGUCUAUCACGGGUUGAAUUAGUCUCCAAUAAAAACUAAAUUCUUUUUAUCUGUAAUACUUGUCAAAUGUUUACUUUGCUGUAUUGAUUCUGUUUAUGCAUCAUGCUUUGAGGUCACAAGUACAAAUAUUUUAUCCGUAACUUGAAAAUCAAAAUUUCUUUAAAACUACCGAAAGAUACAUGGAGAAGGUAUACUUUCUUAGGAUUUUAUAUGUUUUGUGACAACAUGUUACAUGUCACAAUGAAUAGAUUUAUAACAUUGGCUUGUUUUUUUCUUUUGCUAUUGUGGUGCAGGGUCAGCAUAUGGUCGUUCCCUCCAUGCAAGGCAAUGAGUAGGACACUUGAGCUUUUCAUUU
Humulus lupulus (European hop) is the source of this 2301-nucleotide RNA transcript. It is a transcript of the gene named nuclear transcription factor Y subunit B-1-like, with no coding region annotated. The record is from RefSeq and is a predicted model, not a curated record. NCBI's taxonomy places the organism in Eukaryota, Viridiplantae, Streptophyta, Magnoliopsida, Rosales, Cannabaceae. The transcript is spliced from 6 exons.